GAUGAAGAACGUAGCGAAAUGCGAUAAGUAAUGUGAAUUGCAGAAUUCAGUGAAUCAUCGAAUCUUUGAACGCACCUUGCGCUCCUUGGUAUUCCUUGGAGCAUGCCUGUUUGAGUAUCAUGAAAUCCUCAAAAUAUAUCUUUCGUUCAUUCGAUUUGUUUUAUUUUGGACUUGGAGGUCUGCAGAUUCACGUCUGCUCCUCUCAAAUGCAUUAGCUGGAUCUCAGUGAGCUCGGUUCCACUCGGCGUGAUAAGUAUCACUCGCUGAGGACACUGUAAAAAGUGGCCGGGAUUGCAGAUGAACCGCUUCUAAUCGUCUAUUAGCUUAGACAAUUAAAUCUUAUGAUCUGAUCUCAAAUCAGGUAGGACUACCCGCUGAACUUAAGCAUAUCAAUAAGCGGAGGA
Molecule: unclassified non-coding RNA, 404 nt
Filed under: soil metagenome
Description: partial contains 5.8S ribosomal RNA, internal transcribed spacer 2, and large subunit ribosomal RNA
Rfam family: 5.8S ribosomal RNA (bases 1-120)
Source: RNAcentral